Molecule: long non-coding RNA, 108 nt
Organism: Monodelphis domestica (gray short-tailed opossum)
Lineage: Eukaryota; Metazoa; Chordata; Mammalia; Didelphimorphia; Didelphidae
Rfam family: Rhabdomyosarcoma 2 associated transcript conserved region 4
Source: Rfam
CACAUUCCCCGACAGGAAAAUAUAAAUCAUGUAUGAAAUCAGCUAAAGAACAUUUUGGAUAUCAUUCAGCAGAUUAUAUUCUUUGUCUUGUUCCAUUUCUCUUCAAGG